RNAcentral lists this ribosomal RNA (383 nucleotides) under uncultured eukaryote. RNAcentral's name for it is "partial 18S ribosomal RNA". It matches the Rfam family "Eukaryotic small subunit ribosomal RNA", at positions 592 to 976 of the family's 1831-position model. The record is from RNAcentral.
CAAUAGCGUAUAUUAAAGUUGUUGCAGUUAAAAAGCUCGUAGUUGGAUUUCUGGUGGGAGCGAUCGGUCUGGCGCUUAGCGCGAGUACUUGCAUCGUCUCCGGCCAUCCUUGGGGAAAGUCUGUCUGGCAUUAAGUUGUCGGGCAGAGGAUCCUCAUCGUUUACUGUGAAAAAAUUAGAGUGUUCAAAGCAGGCUUAUGCCGUUGAAUAUAUUAGCAUGGAAUAAUGAGAUAGGACUUUGGUACUAUUUUGUUGGUUUGCGCACCAAAGUAAUGAUUAAUAGGGACAGUUGGGGGUAUUCGUAUUCCGUUGUCAGAGGUGAAAUUCUUGGAUUUACGGAAGACGAACUACUGCGAAAGCAUUUACCAAGGAUGUUUUCAUUAA